UACGGAGGGUGCAAGCGUUAUCCGGAUUCACUGGGUUUAAAGGGUGCGUAGGCGGGUUGGUAAGUCCGUGGUGAAAUCUCCAAGCUUAACUUGGAAACUGCCGUGGAUACUAUCAAUCUUGAAUAUCGUGGAGGUAAGCGGAAUAUGUCAUGUAGCGGUGAAAUGCUUAGAUAUGACAUAGAACACCAAUUGCGUAGGCAGCUUACUACACGAUCAUUGACGCUGAGGCACGAAAGCGUGGGGAGCAAGCAGG
RNAcentral lists this ribosomal RNA (253 nucleotides) under uncultured bacterium. RNAcentral describes it as "partial 16S ribosomal RNA". It matches the Rfam family "Bacterial small subunit ribosomal RNA", at positions 524 to 776 of the family's 1533-position model. The record is from RNAcentral.